GGAAAGAGAGGGAUUCGACCCCUCGGUAA
Molecule: transfer RNA, 29 nt
Filed under: Hypnodontopsis spathulatus
Lineage: Eukaryota; Viridiplantae; Streptophyta; Bryopsida; Dicranales; Rhachitheciaceae
Description: partial tRNA-Ser
Source: RNAcentral